RNAcentral lists this long non-coding RNA (398 nucleotides) under Monodelphis domestica (gray short-tailed opossum). RNAcentral's name for it is "lncRNA (ENSMODG00000031463.2)". The record is from RNAcentral. Lineage: Eukaryota; Metazoa; Chordata; Mammalia; Didelphimorphia; Didelphidae.
CAAGGUACAAGUGGAGCCCAAGAGUGACCAGGCUACCCUACAGGUUCCAGUCAUCUCUCUAUCUAGGCAGGCACUGAUGCCAGCACACAGUCAACCAGCCAGUCAGUCAGCCAGCUAGCAGCGUCUAGUGUAUUCUCUACCUGCUUCACUCCCUUCACAGACCUAGCCAGGACAUGGUGAGGACCAAGGAGAAUAGUGAACGUGCUGGUAAAAGGGACAGCUGUCUCAUCCCUGCAAGGCCAAAUUCGGCCUGAUGUUGCCAGGAACGACACUUCCCCCCUUUUGAGAUCCUUGGUCGCCACCACUCCAAAGGAGACACUUCCCUUACAAAGAACGCUCACAAGACUCCUUGCUCCUUCUCGAGCCCAAAGCCACAAAAGAAUAUCCUUUUGAUGACA